This 112-nucleotide ribosomal RNA is filed under the name Leptolyngbya sp. FACHB-17. RNAcentral also lists the same sequence under 1 other name. The record is from RNAcentral. Lineage: Bacteria; Bacillati; Cyanobacteriota; Cyanophyceae; Leptolyngbyales; Leptolyngbyaceae.
UGGUGAUGGCGGUGUGGCCCCACGCUCAUCCAUCCCGAACUGAGUGGUGAAACGCAUUUGCGGCGACGAUAGUGAGAGGGUAGCCUCUUGUCAAAAUAGCUAGCUGCCAGGG